UACGGGGGGGGCAAGCGUUGUUCGGAAUUACUGGGCGUAAAGGGCUCGUAGGCGGCCAACUAAGUCGGACGUGAAAUCCCUCAGCUUAACUGGGGAACUGCGUCCGGUACUGGAUGGCUUGGAUUUGGGAGAGGGAUGCGGAAUUCCAGGUGUAGCGGUGAAAUGCGUAGAUAUCUGGAGGAACACCGGUGGCGAAGGCGGCAUCCUGGACCAAUAUUGACGCUGAGGAGCGAAAGCAAGGGGAGCAAACGGG
RNAcentral lists this ribosomal RNA (253 nucleotides) under uncultured bacterium. RNAcentral describes it as "partial 16S ribosomal RNA". It matches the Rfam family "Bacterial small subunit ribosomal RNA", at positions 524 to 776 of the family's 1533-position model. The record is from RNAcentral.